This 500-nucleotide ribosomal RNA is filed under the name uncultured bacterium. Its description in RNAcentral is "partial 16S ribosomal RNA". It matches the Rfam family "Bacterial small subunit ribosomal RNA", at positions 29 to 523 of the family's 1533-position model. The record is from RNAcentral.
AUUGAACGCUGGCGGCAUGCCUUACACAUGCAAGUCGAACGGCAGCACGGGUGCUUGCACCUGGUGGCGAGUGGCGAACGGGUGAGUAAUACAUCGGAACGUACCUUAUCGUGGGGGAUAACGCAGCGAAAGCUGUGCUAAUACCGCAUACGCCCUGAGGGGGAAAGCGGGGGAUCGAAAGACCUCGCGCGAUUAGAGCGGCCGAUGCCUGAUUAGCUUGUUGGUGGGGUAAAAGCCCACCAAGGCGACGAUCAGUAGCUGGUCUGAGAGGACGAUCAGCCACACUGGGACUGGGACACGGCCCAGACUCCUACGGGAGGCAGCAGUGGGAAAUUUGGACAAUGGGGGCAACCCUGAUCCAGCAAUGCCGCGUGAGUGAAGAAGGCCUUCGGGUUGUAAAGCUCUUUUGUCAGGGAAGAAACACCGGCUCUAACACAGUCCGGGAAUGACGGUACCUGAAGAAUAAGCACCGGCUAACUACGUGCCAGCCGCCGCCGUAA